AAAAAGUGAUAUUGGAUUCAUUCAUUAGUUGUUCACAAAAAUAAUAGAUUAAAAAAAAUUUUAAGAAUUUUCAUAAAGAAAAAUGAGCAAUAACGAUUUAUGGAUUCGCGAUGUAAUUACGAAUUAUGGAUUGUUAUCGCUUAUUAUCAUUCUUAUCGGAAUUUUAAUAUCGCGAAAAUGGUUGAAUUGGCAAAAACGUAUUUACAAAGCUUAUUUAACGGGAUUUGAAGUGGAGUGUGCAGAACUCAUGACACCUUACAAAAAACAUUUAUUCAAAUCACUACAACACGUUGUUUCGAGUGACAGAGUGUUACAAUCCAUGAACCGCAUACGUCUCCUUGAGAUUGGCGUUAAAACGGGUGUGCAUUCCAUGUGAAAAUAUACAAUUUUAUCCAGAAAAUACACACUUAAUUGGUGUUGAUCGAAAUCUGAGAUUAGCUGAAUAUUUAAUAAAAAGUAAUCGUUCGUGGCAAUUUUCUCAUAUCAUUAUUGAACAUCUAAUAAUCGGAGAUGGUAGUUCUUUGAAAGAAGUACCUACUGGAUAUAUAGACGUAGUUGUAACCACAAGAUCGUUAUGUUCAGUAACAUCGUUGCAAUCAACGCUUCGAGAAAUCCACAGAGUAUUGGCACCGGGUGGUCAAUAUUUAUUCAUAGAGCAUAUACCUGAGAAUGAAGGAAUUUUUAUACGAUGGUUACAAAAAAUAUUAACACAAACAAAAAUAUGGCCAUUAUUUUUUGGUGGUUGCCAUUUAAAUGUUGAUCCUAUUAUACAUAUUAAAAAUGCUGGCUUUGAUCAGAUUACAUGGAAUACAUUUACUCUUGAAGGUUA
Apis florea (little honeybee) is the source of this 829-nucleotide long non-coding RNA. NCBI's taxonomy places the organism in Eukaryota, Metazoa, Arthropoda, Insecta, Hymenoptera, Apidae. The record is from RefSeq and is a predicted model, not a curated record.